CUCAUCCCACCCCACCACAACCACCGCUAGACCAUCACCAUCACCGCCACGACCAUCAACUCCAUCAUCGCUAAUAAAACCAUCCCAACAUCACCAUACCAUGGAAACCACCACCACCAACAUACCCUCCACCAUCACAAUCACCGCCAAAUCCAACAUGCCCAUCGCCACCGUUGGAUCAAACAAAACCACGCCACGCAAACACCAUGACCACGAGCACCACCACCACUAUAGCCCCACCUACCAACUGAAAACACACCCAAAAACGCACAUUAGGUUGCGGAGUUGUAGAUACCGGCCACGGCGCACAGCAGAUCUCGACGACAACUCACAACGGGCUAAUCGAAAAGGAGUAGGAGGCUACAAUCAACGGUUGAACUAGUGGUGGUCUCUCUUGCAACGGUAAGUUAGUUCUCACUGAUUUCAAACAGGAAGCAAAAGCACUUAUGGUCACACUUUGCUUGCGUCACCGCACAGUAGUUGAGCGGGGUUCUUCGUUUCGCUCUGUGUGCAACAUUAUGUCUCUACGAUUGCACUUUUGGCCAUUGCUUAGUCAUUGUGUAGAGAGAGAAGAUUGGGGGAGAGAGAGGGCGGCUAUGGUAGAGUCUUCACAAUGGCAGUGGUGGUGGUAUUUUUCCGAGAGGAGAGAUAAGUGAGGGAUAGAGAGAGACAUGAAAUGGGAAAAGAGGGAUAAUGAA
RNAcentral lists this long non-coding RNA (698 nucleotides) under Olea europaea subsp. europaea. Lineage: Eukaryota; Viridiplantae; Streptophyta; Magnoliopsida; Lamiales; Oleaceae. The record is from RNAcentral.